RNAcentral lists this ribosomal RNA (301 nucleotides) under uncultured bacterium. RNAcentral describes it as "partial 16S ribosomal RNA". It matches the Rfam family "Bacterial small subunit ribosomal RNA", at positions 509 to 809 of the family's 1533-position model. The record is from RNAcentral.
CAGCAGCCACGGGAAUACAGAGGGUGCGAGCGUUAAUCGGAUUUACUGGGCGUAAAGCGUGCGUAGGCGGCUUUUUAAGUCGGAUGUGAAAUCCCUGAGCUUAACUUAGGAAUUGCAUUCGAUACUGGGAAGCUAGAGUAUGGGAGAGGAUGGUAGAAUUCCAGGUGUAGCGGUGAAAUGCGUAGAGAUCUGGAGGAAUACCGAUGGCGAAGGCAGCCAUCUGGCCUAAUACUGACGCUGAGGUACGAAAGCAUGGGGAGCAAACAGGAUUAGAUACCCCAGUAGUCCCUGUCUCUUAUAU